GACGAACGCUGGCGGCGUGCUUAACACAUGCAAGUCGAACGGAAAGGCCCUGCAUUUGUGGGGUGCUCGAGUGGCGAACGGGUGAGUAACACGUGAGUAACCUGCCCUUGACUUUGGGAUAACUUCAGGAAACUGGGGCUAAUACCGGAUAGGAGCUCCUGCUGCAUGGUGGGGGUUGGAAAGUUUCGGCGGUUGGGGAUGGACUCGCGGCUUAUCAGCUUGUUGGUGGGGUAGUGGCUUACCAAGGCUUUGACGGGUAGCCGGCCUGGGAGGGUGACCGGCCACAUUGGGACUGAGGUACGGCCCAGACUCCUACGGGAGGCAGCAGGGGGGAAUAUUGCACCAUGGGCGGAAGCCUGAUGCAGGAACGCGGCGUGCGGGAUGACGGCCUUCGGGUUGUAAACCGCGUGCGCCUGUGACGAAGCGUGAGUGACGGUAAUGGGUAAAGAAGCACCGGCUAACUACGUG
RNAcentral lists this ribosomal RNA (468 nucleotides) under uncultured bacterium. RNAcentral's name for it is "partial 16S ribosomal RNA". It matches the Rfam family "Bacterial small subunit ribosomal RNA", at positions 28 to 507 of the family's 1533-position model. The record is from RNAcentral.